Molecule: ribosomal RNA, 449 nt
Filed under: uncultured bacterium
Lineage: Bacteria
Description: partial 16S ribosomal RNA
Rfam family: Bacterial small subunit ribosomal RNA
Source: RNAcentral
AACGAACGCUGGCGGCAGGCCUAACACAUGCAAGUCGAGCGAGGACUUCGGUCCUAGCGGCGGGCGGGUGAGUAACGCGUGGGAACGUGCCCCUUGGUACGGAAUAGCCCCGGGAAACUGGGAGUAAUACCGUAUGAGCUCUACGGAGGAAAGAUUUAUCGCCAAGGGAUCGGCCCGCGUUGGAUUAGGUAGUUGGUGGGGUAAUGGCCUACCAAGCCGACGAUCCAUAGCUGGUUUGAGAGGAUGAUCAGCCCCACUGGGACUGAGACACGGCCCAGACUCCUACGGGAGGCAGCAGUGGGGAAUCUUAGACAAUGGGCGCAAGCCUGAUCUAGCCAUGCCGCGUGAGCGAUGAAGGCCUUAGGGUUGUAAAGCUCUUUCAGCUGGGAAGAUAAUGACUGUACCAGCAGAAGAAGCCCCGGCUAACUCCGUGCCAGCCGCCGCCGUAA